Molecule: small nucleolar RNA, 127 nt
Organism: Meriones unguiculatus (Mongolian gerbil)
Lineage: Eukaryota; Metazoa; Chordata; Mammalia; Rodentia; Muridae
Source: Ensembl
CCUGCUCCUAGAAGCAUUGUAGUUGUGGCUGCUAUGUCGAAUGUGUGUCAGUAGGUGGCAGAGAGGAGAGAAGCUACGUCUAAGCUCAGUGUUCUGACCUAUGAACAUCUGCAUCAUUAGUGAAAAA